AAACACAGUAUCACAACAGCAGCAUCUCUUUGAAAAUAUUUUAAUCAACUGGUAGUUUGGGGUUUUUUUUAAAAAAUAACUUUCUUAAACUUUGGCAUUAUGAUGUCAGUCUAAGCAGGAAAUAGGUUUUCAGAAAGCUGUGAAUCAACAGUUUGCUGUGAUCAUAGAGAAUAAUCAGAAUUAACAUGCUUAUAUUAAUAAAUGCACCUCUAAAAUCAGAAAUGUUAUGGCACAGGACAAUUCCAAAUGUAAGAACAAAUGAGUAACGUCAAAGACACACUACCAGGUUAUACUCCAAUGGAUGUCUCAGGAGGACUUAAAAUAAGCAUCAACAAUGCUUAAUUAAAAUGUAAAGUGCAAAUCAAAUCAUCAUUUGGGUUUUGUGACACCUACUGCUUUCAAGCCUACUCCCUUUGAGAGGAGUCACUGCAAACGCUGUAUAGAGAGAGACAACAGUAAAGGUGUUGGUUUAAUUAGCAAGCAGAGCUUUUACUUUGCAUUAAUCAAUCAGAAGUGGGUUUAGCUAUAAAGUGACACAACAGCAUUGAAGUGUGUGAAGUUGGGCACUGUGCUGGCAAAAGGAGCUAGCACUAGAGGGCCCCCUGUGCCCACGGCUUUGCUCUCACUGUCAGUGGAAGUGAUUUAGCCUCAUUUAGGCUUCUCAGUUUGUGUAAUUCACUGUAUGCCACAGUACCUACAUAAAAACCUUCUGUUUUGCCAACACAGGUGACUAAGGAGCUGCCUGAGGGAAAGUGGGACACUUCACAGCAGGUCUUUGUAGAAAAAAAAAAUCACUUAAAGUGAACAGAUCUGCACAAAUGGAAGUGUCAGCCCUGGAAUCACAACCUACAAGACAUUUUUGCUUUCUUAGCUUGUUCUCUUUUCUCUGUACAGAGCAACACUGGAUAAGUGAUGCAUCAUCUGGGCCUUAAAGCAGAUGUCUAUGGAAAAUGUUAUGUUACCAAAGAAUACAGCAGACAGCAAACAGAGAUUGCUGUCGUCCAACAGCCUCUCAAUCAUGUCUGUAAGAGAUUCACAGGGUGUUGUCAAGUGUUUCUACAUCAGGAGCCUUGGAGGUGGACUUGUGGAGACUUUGAUCUUCUGCAGCUGCUUAUUUGGUUCCCAAGUUUUUUGCUCAGUUAUUCUCCCAAAUUCCAGACUGAGGAAGCACUCCAGGGGAGAGAAAGAAAAAUACAGGUAGGCACCUUAAGUGAUUUCUUAGAUUCAGUCAGUAUUGUGGCUCUCUGUUUUAAAACACAGCAAUUUCUAUGCUAUAUUGCAGUCACUUUAAAAAACAUUCAUCUUUCUCCCAAUAUAUAGCAUGUAUGUACACACAACAAACAGAGGUAACUGAAACAAAAUUAUGCUUCUGUUCUCAUUAUUAAACAUUUGUGUCUUUGGAAGAUGA
This is a long non-coding RNA of Passer montanus (Eurasian tree sparrow), 1408 nucleotides long. RefSeq lists it as uncharacterized. The transcript is spliced from 4 exons. Lineage: Eukaryota; Metazoa; Chordata; Aves; Passeriformes; Passeridae. The record is from RefSeq and is a predicted model, not a curated record.